GACGAACGCUGGCGGCGUGCUUAACACAUGCAAGUCGAACGGAAAGGCCCUGCUUUUGUGGGGUGCUCGAGUGGCGAACGUGUGAGUAACACGUGAGUAACCUGCCCUUGACUUUGUGAUAACUUCAGGAAACUGGGGCUAAUACCGGAUAGGAGCUCCUGCUGCAUGGUGGGGGUUGGAAAGUUUCGGCGGUUGGGGAUGGACUCGCGGCUUAUCAGCUUGUUGGUGGGGUAGUUGCUUACCAAGGCUUUGACGGGUAGCCGGCCUGAGAGGGUGACCGGCCACAUUGGGACUGAGAUACGGCCCAGAAUCCUACGGGAGGCAGCAGUGGGGAAUAUUGCACAAUGGGAGGAAGCCUGAUGAAGAAACGCCGCGUGCGGGAUGACGGCCUUCGGGUUGUAAACCGCUUUCGCAUGUGACGAAGCGUGAGUGACGGUAAUGGGUAAAGAAGCACCGGCUAACUACGUG
Molecule: ribosomal RNA, 468 nt
Filed under: uncultured bacterium
Lineage: Bacteria
Description: partial 16S ribosomal RNA
Rfam family: Bacterial small subunit ribosomal RNA
Source: RNAcentral